UACGAAGGGGGCUAGCGUUGCUCGGAAUCACUGGGCGUAAAGCGCACGUAGGCGGCUUGUUAAGUCAGGGGUGAAAUCCUGGAGCUCAACUCCAGAACUGCCUUUGAUACUGGCGAGCUUGAGUCCGGGAGAGGUGAGUGGAACUCCGAGUGUAGAGGUGAAAUUCGUAGAUAUUCGGAAGAACACCAGUGGCGAAGGCGGCUCACUGGCCCGGUACUGACGCUGAGGUGCGAAAGCGUGGGGAGCAAACAGG
This 253-nucleotide ribosomal RNA is filed under the name uncultured bacterium. RNAcentral's name for it is "partial 16S ribosomal RNA". It matches the Rfam family "Bacterial small subunit ribosomal RNA", at positions 524 to 776 of the family's 1533-position model. The record is from RNAcentral.